This 470-nucleotide long non-coding RNA is filed under the name Anas platyrhynchos platyrhynchos (common mallard). Its description in RNAcentral is "lncRNA (ENSAPLG00000023505.1)". Lineage: Eukaryota; Metazoa; Chordata; Aves; Anseriformes; Anatidae. The record is from RNAcentral.
UGGGUACUCAGAAUCCACAAGGAUCUCUUUCUGGUAUCAUAUGCAGGGGACUAGAAUAGACAUUGCAUGUUUAAUUUUGAACCUGUAGGGUAAGAUCUACUAACUACAGACUAGGAAGACUAAUUUCAUGUUAGAAGAUCUUUCUGGUAGUAGCAGUGUCUUCAUCAACUACCUCAGUGCUCUCUCCUAACUUAUUUUAGUGAUGGCUGUCCUUGAAACUGGAUACAAGUGUCUAGUACCCGUAAAAAGAAGCUGAGCAAGUCAAAUCUUCUAUUUUAAGUGAAGGAUUCUUACAGAUUUCUUGGAUAUAUUGAAAGACUGCAUCAGAAUUCAGCUUGUGUCUGUGCCAGCAACUGUGCAGAUUCAUGGCAGCAUCCAUACCGUAGUACUGCCUGUGCACUGAGGCAUGCAGCUUCUUGGUCUCCCUCUGGAUACUGAGGAGAUCGAGCUGUUUUUCAUCCAUUUCCCUU